RNAcentral lists this ribosomal RNA (1465 nucleotides) under marine metagenome. RNAcentral describes it as "bacterial SSU rRNA". It matches the Rfam family "Bacterial small subunit ribosomal RNA". The record is from RNAcentral.
AGAGUUUGAUCCUGGCUCAGGAUGAACGCUGGCGGCGUGCUUAACACAUGCAAGUCGAACGAACCUUCGGGUUAGUGGCGGACGGGUGAGUAACGCGUGGGAAUCUGCCCUCAGGAGGGGGAUAACGGUUGGAAACGACCGCUAAUACCCCAUAUGCCGAGAGGUGAAAUGAAUUUCGCCUGAGGAUGAGCCCGCGUCUGAUUAGCUAGUUGGUGUGGUAAUGGCUCACCAAGGCUUCGAUCAGUAGCUGGUCUGAGAGGAUGAUCAGCCACACUGGGACUGAGACACGGCCCAGACUCCUACGGGAGGCAGCAGUGGGGAAUUUUCCGCAAUGGGCGAAAGCCUGACGGAGCAACGCCGCGUGAGGGAUGAAGGCCUCUGGGCUGUAAACCUCUUUUCUCAAGGAAGAAGAUCUGACGGUACUUGAGGAAUAAGCCACGGCUAAUUCCGUGCCAGCAGCCGCGGUAAUACGGGAGUGGCAAGCGUUAUCCGGAAUUAUUGGGCGUAAAGCGUCCGCAGGCGGCCUUUCAAGUCUGCUGUUAAAACGUGGAGCUUAACUCCAUCAUGGCAGUGGAAACUGUUGGGCUUGAGUGUGGUAGGGGCAGAGGGAAUUCCCGGUGUAGCGGUGAAAUGCGUAGAUAUCGGGAAGAACACCAGUGGCGAAGGCGCUCUGCUGGGCCAUAACUGACGCUCAUGGACGAAAGCCAGGGGAGCGAAAGGGAUUAGAUACCCCUGUAGUCCUGGCCGUAAACGAUGAACACUAGGUGUCGGGGGAAUCGACCCCCUCGGUGUCGUAGCCAACGCGUUAAGUGUUCCGCCUGGGGAGUACGCACGCAAGUGUGAAACUCAAAGGAAUUGACGGGGGCCCGCACAAGCGGUGGAGUAUGUGGUUUAAUUCGAUGCAACGCGAAGAACCUUACCAGGGUUUGACAUCCUGCGAAUCUCUUGGAAACGAGAGAGUGCCUUCUGGAACGCAGUGACAGGUGGUGCAUGGCUGUCGUCAGCUCGUGUCGUGAGAUGUUGGGUUAAGUCCCGCAACGAGCGCAACCCACGUCUUUAGUUGCCAGCAUUUAGUUGGGCACUCUAGAGAGACCGCCGGUGAUAAACCGGAGGAAGGUGUGGAUGACGUCAAGUCAUCAUGCCCCUUACAUCCUGGGCUACACACGUACUACAAUGCUACGGACAAAGGGCAGCAAGUUCGCGAGGACAAGCAAAUCCCAUAAACCGUGGCUCAGUUCAGAUCGUAGGCUGCAACUCGCCUACGUGAAGGAGGAAUCGCUAGUAAUCGCAGGUCAGCAUACUGCGGUGAAUACGUUCCCGGGCCUUGUACACACCGCCCGUCACACCAUGGAAGUUGGCCACGCCCGAAGCCGUUACUCCAACCCUUGUGGAGGAGGACGUCGAAGGUGGGGCUGAUGACUGGGGUGAAGUCGUAACAAGGUAGCCGUACCGGAAGGUGCGGCUG